GACCAUCUCCUAAGGCUAAAUACUCUCUAGUGACCGAUAGUGAACCAGUACCGUGAGGGAAAGGUGAAAAGCACCCCGGAAGGGGAGUGAAAUAGAACCUGAAACCGUGUGCUUACAAGUAGUCAGAGCCCGUUAAUGGGUGAUGGCGUGCCUUUUGUAGAAUGAACCGGCGAGUUACGAUUUGAUGCAAGGUUAAGCAGUAAAUGUGGAGCCGUAGCGAAAGCGAGUCUGAAUAGGGCGUUUAGUAUUUGGUCGUAGACCCGAAACCAGGUGAUCUACCCUUGGUCAGGUUGAAGUUCAGGUAACACUGAAUGGAGGACCGAACCGACUUACGUUGAAAAGUGAGCGGAUGAACUGAGGGUAGCGGAGAAAUUCCAAUCGAACCUGGAGAUAGCUGGUUCUCUCCGAAAUAGCUUUAGGGCUAGCCUCAAGUGAUGAUUAUUGGAGGUAG
RNAcentral lists this ribosomal RNA (451 nucleotides) under Staphylococcus aureus. RNAcentral's name for it is "partial 23S ribosomal RNA". It matches the Rfam family "Bacterial large subunit ribosomal RNA", at positions 451 to 905 of the family's 2925-position model. Lineage: Bacteria; Bacillati; Bacillota; Bacilli; Caryophanales; Staphylococcaceae. The record is from RNAcentral.